GAUGAACGCUGGCGGCGUGCCUAAUACAUGCAAGUCGAGCGAACGGACGAGAAGCUUUCUUCUCUGAUGUUAGCGGCGGACGGGUGAGUAACACGUGGAUAACCUACCUAUAAGACUGGGAUAACUUCGGGAAACCGGCGCUAAUACCGGAUGAUAUUUUGAACCGCAUGGUUCAAAAGUGAAAGACGGUCUUGCUGUCACUUAUAGAUGGAUCCGCGCUGCAUUAGCUAGUUGGUAAGGUAACGGCUUACCAAGGCAACGAUGCAUAGCCGACCUGAGAGGGUGAUCGGCCACACUGGAACUGAGACACGGUCCAGACACCUACGGGAGGCAACAGUAGGGAAUCUUCCGCAAUGGGCGAAAGCCUGACGGAGCAACGCCGCGUGAGUGAUGAAGGUCUUCGGAUCGUAAAACUAUGUUAUUAGGGGAGAACAUAUGUGUAAGUGACUGUGCAGAUCGUGACGGUACCUAAUCAGAAAGCCACGGCUAACUACGUG
This 497-nucleotide ribosomal RNA is filed under the name uncultured bacterium. Its description in RNAcentral is "partial 16S ribosomal RNA". It matches the Rfam family "Bacterial small subunit ribosomal RNA", at positions 28 to 507 of the family's 1533-position model. The record is from RNAcentral.